GCGCGGGUGGCGAAACUGGCAGACGCGCCACUUUGAGGGGGUGGUGGGGGCAACCCCGUGGAGGUUCAAAUCCUCUCCCGGGCA
RNAcentral lists this transfer RNA (84 nucleotides) under bacterium. RNAcentral describes it as "tRNA-Leu". It matches the Rfam family "tRNA". From Rfam's summary of the family: Transfer RNA (tRNA) molecules are approximately 80 nucleotides in length. Their secondary structure includes four short double-helical elements and three loops (D, anti-codon, and T loops). Further hydrogen bonds mediate the characteristic L-shaped molecular structure. tRNAs have two regions of fundamental functional importance: the anti-codon, which is responsible for specific mRNA codon recognition, and the 3' end, to which the tRNAs corresponding amino acid is attached (by aminoacyl-tRNA synthetases). tRNAs cope with the degeneracy of the genetic code in two manners: having more than one tRNA (with a specific anti-codon) for a particular amino acid; and 'wobble' base-pairing, i.e. permitting non-standard base-pairing at the 3rd anti-codon position. The record is from RNAcentral.